UACAGUCAUGUCAGAUUGAAAAACCAGUUCUCAUAAGAUCACCAAAAUUAAGCAACCUCUAGCCUGAUCAGUAUUGAGAAGAGUAACCACUUGGGAAUACCAGUUGCUGUAUG
Molecule: non-coding RNA, 113 nt
Organism: Acanthosepion pharaonis
Lineage: Eukaryota; Metazoa; Mollusca; Cephalopoda; Sepiida; Sepiidae
Source: the annotation of a GenBank genome assembly